RNAcentral lists this ribosomal RNA (253 nucleotides) under uncultured bacterium. Its description in RNAcentral is "partial 16S ribosomal RNA". It matches the Rfam family "Bacterial small subunit ribosomal RNA", at positions 524 to 776 of the family's 1533-position model. The record is from RNAcentral.
UACGUAGGGUGCAAGCGUUGUCCGGAUUUAUUGGGCGUAAAGAGCUCGUAGGCGGUUUGUCGCGUCGGAUGUGAAAACCCAGGGCUCAACCCUGGGCCUGCAUUCGAUACGGGCAAACUAGAGUAUGGCAGGGGAGACUGGAAUUCCUGGUGUAGCGGUGAAAUGCGCAGAUAUCAGGAGGAACACCGGUGGCGAAGGCGGGUCUCUGGACCGUAACUGACGCUGAGGCGCGAAAGCGUGGGGAGCAAACAGG